CUCGCCUGUUUAUCAAAAACAUCGCCUCUUGCAUAAUCCAAUGAAUAAGAGGUCCUGCCUGCCCCGUGACCAUGAGUUUAACGGCCGCGGUAUUUUGACCGUGCAAAGGUAGCGCAAUCACUUGUCCUUUAAAUGAAGACCCGUAUGAACGGCAAGACGAGGGCUUGACUGUCUCCUUUUUCAAGUCAAUGAAAUUGAUCCUCCCGUGCAGAAGCGGGAAUCCUCCCAUAAGACGAGAAGACCCUGUGGAGCUUCAGACACUAAGACAGACCACGUCAAAAUCCCCUAACAAAGGACUGAACUAAGUGAAUCCUGUACUAAUGUCUUCGGUUGGGGCGACCGCGGGGAAAA
RNAcentral lists this ribosomal RNA (351 nucleotides) under Boesemania microlepis (smallscale croaker). RNAcentral's name for it is "partial large subunit ribosomal RNA". It matches the Rfam family "Bacterial large subunit ribosomal RNA", at positions 1795 to 2294 of the family's 2925-position model. Lineage: Eukaryota; Metazoa; Chordata; Actinopteri; Sciaenidae. The record is from RNAcentral.